Non-coding RNA from Polychaeton citri CBS 116435, 108 nucleotides. The record is from the annotation of a GenBank genome assembly. NCBI's taxonomy places the organism in Eukaryota, Fungi, Ascomycota, Dothideomycetes, Capnodiales, Capnodiaceae.
AGUCCUUUGACGCAGUGGCUAGCGUGUCGUUCUUAUAUGUCUCGCGCGCGAGGGCAUAUGGCUAUCUUUGCAAUGCGAAAGUCGCGAGUUCGAAUCUCGCAAGGACUA